AGAGUUUGAUCCUGGCUCAGGACGAACGCUGGCGGCAUGCUUAACACAUGCAAGUCUACUUGAAUAUCGAAGCUUGCUUUGAUAGGAUGGUGGCGAACGGGUGAGUAACGCGUAGAUAAUCUGCCCUUCAGGCAGGGAUAAUCUCUGGAAACGGAGACUAAUACCUGAUAGUAUCCUUUGGUGGCAUCACUAAUGGAUUAAAGAUCUAGAAUCGCUGAAGGAUGAAUCUGCGUGUCAUUAGCUAGUUGGUAGGGUAAAAGCCUACCAAGGCAACGAUGACUAGCUGGUCUGAGAGGAUGAUCAGCCACACUGGGACUGAGAUACGGCCCAGACUCCUACGGGAGGCAGCAGUGAGGAAUAUUGCACAAUGGGGGCAACCCUGAUGCAGCAAUGCCGCGUGAGUGAAGAAUCAGUUAAUCUGUGUAAAGCUCUGUUGAUUGGGACGAAAUGUAAGGUUAGCAGCCUUAUUUGACGGUACCAAUCGAGGAAGCUCCGGCUAACUCCGUGCCAGCAGCCGCGGUAAUACGGGGGGAGCGAGCGUUGUCCGGAUUCAUUGGGCGUAAAGGGCAUGUAGGUGGGUCUUUAAGUCAGUUGUUAAAUCUUACGGCUUAACCGUGAAUGGCAAUUGAUACUGAAGAUCUUGAGUGCGAGAGGGGACGGUAGAAUAUCUAGUGUAGCGGUGGAAUGCGUAGAUAUUAGAUAGAAUACCUGAGGCGAAGGCGACCGUCUGGCUCGUAACUGACACUGAAAUGCGAAAGCAUGGGUAGCAAACAGGAUUAGAUACCCUGGUAGUCCAUGCCGUAAACGAUGGGUACUAGCUGUCGGAGGACUAACCCCUUCGGUGGCGGAGCUAACGCAUUAAGUACCCCGCCUGGGGAGUACGAUCGCAAGGUUGAAACUCAAAGGAAUUGACGGGGGCCCGCACAAGCGGUGGAGCAUGUGUGUUUAAUUCGAUGCAACGCGAAGAACCUUACCUGGGCUUGAACUGUAGUUGCCCACUCCAGAGAUGGAGCUUUUCCAGCAAUGGAACAACUAUAGAGGUGCUGCAUGGCUGUCGUCAGCUCGUGUCGUGGGAUGUUGGGUUAAGUCCCGCAACGAGCUCAACCCUUAUUACUAGUUGCCAGCGCGUUAUGGCGGGGACUCUAGUGAGACUGCCCGGGUUAACCGGGAGGAAGGUGGGGAUGACGUCAAGUCCUCAUGGCCCUUAUGUCCAGGGCUACACGCGUGCUACAAUGGGUGGUACAAAGCGCAGCUACAUCGCAAGAUGAUGCGAAUCGCUAAAACCAUUCUCAGUUCGGAUUGUAGUCUGCAACUCGACUGCAUGAAGUUGGAAUCGCUAGUAAUCGCGGAUCAGCAUGCCGCGGUGAAUACGUUCCCGGGCCUUGUACACACCGCCCGUCACACCAUGGAAGUUGAUAGUGCUCGACUCAGCUGGUCUAACCCUUCGGGGAGGAAGGCUGUUAAAGCAAGAUUGAUAACUAGGGUGAAGUCGGAACAAGGUA
Molecule: ribosomal RNA, 1502 nt
Filed under: metagenome
Description: bacterial SSU rRNA
Rfam family: Bacterial small subunit ribosomal RNA
Source: RNAcentral